Vespa velutina is the source of this 1947-nucleotide long non-coding RNA. RefSeq lists it as uncharacterized. The transcript has 3 exons. NCBI's taxonomy places the organism in Eukaryota, Metazoa, Arthropoda, Insecta, Hymenoptera, Vespidae. The record is from RefSeq and is a predicted model, not a curated record.
GGUUGAGCUAUAAUAACGUAGCGAAUUUUUCGCCAAAGAACUUGCAUUCGGAAGAAUGUAAUUCUAGUGGCAUUUUCUUGGCACACUGACUUUUUCUCUCCUUUUUCGUUUCUACCUUUCAUUUUACGAUCUAGGAGGAAUUUAAAUACGAACAAUCACGGCGCUUCGAGCGGAACUCUAAACGGAAAGUGGAAAUGAAAGGAAAGAACGAGUUGGUCCUUUCAAAAAAAUAUAUAUACAGCUUCGAGGAGAAAAUCGUCAUACUGUUAUAAAUCUUUCGACGAGGUAUGAGAAGAAGAAGAAGAAGAAGAAGAAGAAGAAUGUGCUUACGUGUCACUUUUCGCUGAAGGCUGAAUCGACGGUGAGAGAGAGAGAGAGAGCGAGAGAGAGAGAGAAUCAACCUUUCGCAAGCCGAGAAGCAUCCGACGAAUCAUUUAUGAAUCACGUACUUACAAGACUCGAUAGGAGGUUUCGUACGAUUCGACCAACUCUAUCUUUCUCUCCAACUUUCUUACGCUUUUUCUUUUACAACACACGCGAACGAUAUACUCGAUCACUUUUCACCUUCCAAAGAAGAAGAAGAAGAAGAAGAAGAAGAAGAAGAAGGAGGAGGAGGAGGAGGAGGAGCCACUUCGAGAGAUACGUUCGAAAAUCUUUCAAGAAUCAAAAAAUAUCAAGAGUGGGCAAAAUAAAAAAGUUUAACUUUACUUUGUUUCCUUUUUCCAACUUUCAGCAACAUACAUACAUACGUAGAGAGGAGCGCGAUAAGCUCGUUCGAAUUUCUCGUAUGGACAAAGUUAGCAUUUUCUCCGUAAAAAGCUUCCUCCUAAGGAAAGCAUUCGAGAGAGCUUCCAAGGAACAUUGUUUCGGAAAACGGAGUUAUAAGAGAGACAACGAUAAUACCGUUGAAAGACAAUGGAAGACGUUGAUGGACUAAGACACUGCUAACCUCUUAUACGAUAGUCAGCAAGCUAGCUGAAUGUACCAUGAAUAUUUCAAGUUCGCUGCAGUAACGCAGAAGGAAGAAAGCCAUUGAGGAACGAUUUGACGGACAAAUUGAUAAAGAUAAUCGACGGGCAGCGAAUGGUACACGUUAGAAAUCUAAUCCUUCGAAACUUACGAUCACCCUCUUGAUGGCGUUAGGACUAAAGACCAUCAUUCGACGUUGCUUCUUGAUGAGCCUGCUAAGCCGUUGAGUCCUUUGAGCGCAUGUAAGCGUUUUUCCGUUCAAUUGAAAAUCGUCUACAAGUUCAUCCUCGAGGUCGUUUGCAUCCCUCUCGAUCCGAGGACUAUGCCUGAGCGUAACCGUGCUAAGCGGUACCGCUUUGGCGACGAGACUCUCGCUUCUAACGCUCCAAUUGGAACCACCGUACUUCUUCAGAUUCAUCAGAUCACCUAUGCUACCUCUGACCUGACUGGUACACAGCUGAAGAUUCGUUCUCGAGAGAGCCGGCGAGUGAGGAAGAGACUCGGAACACUUCUCGAUCGAUCUGACGACGUCCGGUAAGAUCGACUUGUUCUGAAGUUUGUCCAAAUCUGAGAGGGACGAUCCACGACGAAUCCUGGCUCUGGGCAAAGUUGCUUUUUCUUUUGCAAUUUUUUCUUUCUCGCGAUUCACGCUCUUGGAAGAUAAGGAAGACUUCAUGGCGAAUAGACCCGCCUUCAAUGGAAAGAGCAAUGCCCACUCGGUCGACUUUUCGCGAGUCUCCAUUUUCACCGACCUUUUUUACCUUUCUUCUUCUUCUCGAUAAGAAGAGCUUCGCGUCUUCGUAUAACUUCGAGAAAUAUUAUAGUUCUCCUCGAGGCUCGAAAACAGGAAAGAGAACUCUCGUUUAAGCGUUAAGUUAGAACGAUAACGCGCCAUCCGGCUUGCGGACCUUCCGCUCGGUCGUUAUCGUGCUUCCAAUGAAGAAACCGGAAGAACUUACUUUGGUUGUAUAAUAAAAA